GGCGGAGUAGCUCAGGGGUUAGAGCAGUGGAAUCAUAAUCCAAAGGUCGGCAGUUCAAUUCUGCCCUCCGCUACCA
RNAcentral lists this transfer RNA (76 nucleotides) under Micavibrio sp. RNAcentral's name for it is "tRNA-Met". It matches the Rfam family "tRNA". From Rfam's summary of the family: Transfer RNA (tRNA) molecules are approximately 80 nucleotides in length. Lineage: Bacteria; Pseudomonadati; Bdellovibrionota; Bdellovibrionia; Bdellovibrionales; Pseudobdellovibrionaceae. The record is from RNAcentral.